CCUGCCCAGUGAGUCCCCCCUUAAACGGCCGCGGUACUCUAACCGUGCAAAGGUAGCGUAAUCACUUGCCCCCUAAAUAGGGGCUAGUAUGAACGGCUAAAUGAGGGCCUAACUGUCUCCUGCGACAAGCCAAUGAAACUGCUCUCUCAGUACAAAAGCUGAGAUGCCACCACAAGACGAGAAGACCCUGUGGAGCUUUUAAGCACCACACUAACCCCACAACCCACCCAUAGUGCACACUUUAAGUUGGGGCGACUACGGAGAAAAUCAUAACCUCCACGAAACAGGACUAACCUCCACCCAAGGCCAACAAGCCGAAACUAUCAAUUACCCAUUGACCCAGCAACGCUGAGCAACGGACCAAGUUACCCCAGGGAUAACAGCGCAAUCCUCCUCAAGAGUCCAUAUCGCCAGGAGGGUUUACGACCUCGAUGUUGGAUCAGGACACCC
This 450-nucleotide ribosomal RNA is filed under the name Phyllodactylus andysabini (Andy Sabin's leaf-toed gecko). RNAcentral describes it as "partial large subunit ribosomal RNA". It matches the Rfam family "Bacterial large subunit ribosomal RNA", at positions 1858 to 2547 of the family's 2925-position model. Lineage: Eukaryota; Metazoa; Chordata; Lepidosauria; Squamata; Phyllodactylidae. The record is from RNAcentral.